CCCUAACCUUAACCCUAACAUCCCUUCGCUUCUUCCUUCAUACUUUAUCAAUGUCGGUACCAUCAGACUCACAAGCGGUGAAAAAGGCUGUUAGCAUUCAGAUGGACGAAAUCGGUUGCCUCGAAAUCAAUAUUACCGUUACUGGAAAAGAAAUUGAGCUGAAGACAGAUGGAGGCACCCCGCAAGUAACCAACAUUAAGAAGAAUCUACAAAUAAUCAUCCGAGACCCCAAGGCAAAAUCCACGGAGCCCGAGAAAGACAGUAAAAAUUAAAUGCAAGAAGCGUAUCCAAAUGAUAUUGGAGAUAUGGAAAUAUUAUUGAAGACAUGAAGAUAUUUGACUUUUAUUGUAUAUAAAAUAAUGGUUAUUGUCUUCUAUGGUAUAUAAGACUAUUUUAUUUUUCUUUUAUUGUUUUUAUAUAUGAUACGAUUGUGUCUUUUAAAGAAUAUGCAAUGAAAAAUAUCUUCUUAAUGUCAUGAUAUUGGUGAGA
Vitis riparia (riverbank grape) is the source of this 489-nucleotide long non-coding RNA. RefSeq lists it as uncharacterized. The transcript has 2 exons. The record is from RefSeq and is a predicted model, not a curated record. Lineage: Eukaryota; Viridiplantae; Streptophyta; Magnoliopsida; Vitales; Vitaceae.